RNAcentral lists this ribosomal RNA (264 nucleotides) under Triticum aestivum (bread wheat). RNAcentral describes it as "partial small subunit ribosomal RNA". The record is from RNAcentral. Lineage: Eukaryota; Viridiplantae; Streptophyta; Magnoliopsida; Poales; Poaceae.
UGCAACCGCAUUAUUAUUAACUCGAAUAAUACGAAGGUGAUCGGCACCAUGAAGGAAGGAGGAUGAUCGUCGGGUGCAGCAGCGACAAUCUUUGAUGAUUGUUUUCAUUUAGCUUGUGAUUUUUCCAUUUCUAAAUUUGAGCACCGUAAUAGAGAAGCAAAUAAAGUCAGUCAUGAACUUGGCAAACUGGCUAGAUUUUCUUUCAUUUUCGAAUGGUUCAAGGAACCAAAUAGUGAUAUGGUACCAAUCCUCAAAACGAUGUAA